This 506-nucleotide ribosomal RNA is filed under the name uncultured bacterium. RNAcentral describes it as "partial 16S ribosomal RNA". It matches the Rfam family "Bacterial small subunit ribosomal RNA", at positions 29 to 523 of the family's 1533-position model. The record is from RNAcentral.
AGUGAACGCUGGCGGUAGGCCUAACACAUGCAAGUCGAACGGCAGCACAGGAGAGCUUGCUCUCUGGGUGGCGAGUGGCGGACGGGUGAGGAACACAUCGGAAUCUACUCUGUCGUGGGGGAUAACGUAGGGAAACUUACGCUAAUACCGCAUACGACCUACGGGUGAAAGCAGGGGAUCUUCGGACCUUGCGCGAUUGAAUGAGCCGAUCUCGGAUUAGCUAGUUGGCGGGGUAAAGGCCCACCAAGGCGACGAUCCGUAGCUGGUCUGAGGGGAUGAUCAGCCACACGGGAACUGAGACAAGGUCCAGACUCCUACGGGAGGCAGCAGUGGGGAAUAUUGGACAAUGGGCGCAAGCCUGAUCCAGCCAUACCGCGUGGGUGAAGAAGGCCUUCGGGUUGUAAAGCCCUUUUGUUGGGAAAGAAAUCCAGCUGGCUAAUACCCGGUUGGGAUGACGGUACCCAAAGAAUAAGCACCGGCUAACUUCGUGCCAGCAGCCGCGGUAA